AAUCAGGUGCGGUUGAGGAACUUUAUUGAAGAUCCAGUACUCAUCAACAGGCUCCACUCAGAGGUUAAGUUGUUGAGAUCAUUAAAGAACAAGUACAUCAUUGUUUGCUACAAUGUUUGGUUGGAUGAGGAGCCUAGUACACUGAAUUUUAUCACUGAGGUGUGCACAUCUGGAAAUUUAAGAAAUUACAGGGAGAAGCAUCGCCAUGUCUCCUUGAAAGCC
RNAcentral lists this unclassified non-coding RNA (222 nucleotides) under Hevea brasiliensis (rubber tree). The record is from RNAcentral. Lineage: Eukaryota; Viridiplantae; Streptophyta; Magnoliopsida; Malpighiales; Euphorbiaceae.